AAGAAUCUAAGGUAUACGCGAAAAUUCAUGAUUUCAGCUUUGCCUUACAAGUAAUUACAAAUUGGUUGAGGAACAUUACUUUGGCAUGUAGGCCUUACACUUGGUAACAUUAAAAAGUAAUUAUUAGUCAGCCACCUCGUUUAUCGGGGUCAAACUGAAGAAUUUUCUAACGGUGCCAAUUUGGACUUCUU
Molecule: non-coding RNA, 191 nt
Filed under: Periweissella beninensis
Lineage: Bacteria; Bacillati; Bacillota; Bacilli; Lactobacillales; Lactobacillaceae
Description: 6S RNA
Rfam family: 6S / SsrS RNA
About the family: E. coli 6S RNA was the first non coding RNA to be sequenced, but its function was unknown until recently.
Source: RNAcentral